GCAAGUCGGGCGAGAUCUUCGGAUCUAGCGGCGGACGGGUGAGUAACGCGUGGGAACGUGCCCUUCUCUACGGAAUAGUCCCGGGAAACUGGGUUUAAUACCGUAUACGCCCUUCGGGGGAAAGAUUUAUCGGAGAAGGAUCGGCCCGCGUUGGAUUAGGUAGUUGGUGGGGUAAUGGCCCACCAAGCCUACGAUCCAUAGCUGGUUUGAGAGGAUGAUC
This 220-nucleotide ribosomal RNA is filed under the name uncultured bacterium. RNAcentral's name for it is "partial 16S ribosomal RNA". It matches the Rfam family "Bacterial small subunit ribosomal RNA", at positions 57 to 305 of the family's 1533-position model. The record is from RNAcentral.